GUCGCCGUAACGCCGAAUCCUGUCGGCGGCGACGGGCAGGCACUUCAGCUUUCACGGCAGGAGCGGGGGACCCAGGUAAGUGCCGCACCGCGCGCAAGCGCGGGACGGCUUGGGGUGAAGCCAUGCUCCGCAUGGCCGGGCAUCUCCAGCUCGAACCCGACAGCUCACCUCGCAGGCGUCGGAGAGGAGCAUG
This 193-nucleotide small RNA is filed under the name Streptomyces sp. Its description in RNAcentral is "c-di-AMP sequence". It matches the Rfam family "c-di-AMP riboswitch aptamer (ydaO/yuaA leader)". From Rfam's summary of the family: This family represents a conserved RNA structure found upstream of the ydaO and yuaA genes in Bacillus subtilis and related genes in other bacteria. The ydaO/yuaA element is thought to act as a genetic "off" switch for the ydaO and yuaA genes in its native state. It is believed that the element may be triggered during osmotic shock leading to activation of ydaO, a predicted amino acid transporter gene, and members of the yuaA-yubG operon which code for KtrA and KtrB K+ transporters. The record is from RNAcentral. RNAcentral also lists the same sequence under 1 other name. Lineage: Bacteria; Bacillati; Actinomycetota; Actinomycetes; Kitasatosporales; Streptomycetaceae.